RNAcentral lists this ribosomal RNA (460 nucleotides) under uncultured bacterium. RNAcentral describes it as "partial 16S ribosomal RNA". It matches the Rfam family "Bacterial small subunit ribosomal RNA", at positions 338 to 795 of the family's 1533-position model. The record is from RNAcentral.
CCUACGGGUGGCAGCAGUGAGGAAUAUUGGUCAAUGGGCGCGAGCCUGAACCAGCCAAGUAGCGUGAAGGAUGACUGCCCUACGGGUUGUAAACUUCUUUUAUAAAGGAACAAAGUGAGGCACGUGUGCCUCUUUGUAUGUACUUUAUGAAUAAGGAUCGGCUAACUCCGUGCCAGCAGCCGCGGUAAUACUGAGUAUCCGUGCGUUAUCCGGAUUUAUUGGGUUUAAAGGGAGCGUAGAUGGGUUGUUAAGUCAGUUGUGAAAGUUUGCGGCUCAACCGUAAAAUUGCAAUUGAUACUGGCAGCCUUGAGUACAGUUGAGGGAGGCGGAAUUCGUGGUGUAGCGGUGAAAUGCUUAGAUAUCACGAAGAACUCCGAUUGCGAAGGCAGCCUACUAAACUGCCACUGACAUUGAGGCUCGAAAGUGUGGGUAUCAAACAGGAUUAGAUACCCGUGUAGUC